GCCUGGAUAGCUCAGGUGGUUAGGGCAUGAUGCUGAUAACACCAGGGUUGCAGGUUUGAUCCCUGUGUGGGGCA
This 74-nucleotide transfer RNA is filed under the name Podarcis lilfordi (Lilford's wall lizard). It matches the Rfam family "tRNA". Rfam says of the family: Transfer RNA (tRNA) molecules are approximately 80 nucleotides in length. Their secondary structure includes four short double-helical elements and three loops (D, anti-codon, and T loops). Further hydrogen bonds mediate the characteristic L-shaped molecular structure. tRNAs have two regions of fundamental functional importance: the anti-codon, which is responsible for specific mRNA codon recognition, and the 3' end, to which the tRNAs corresponding amino acid is attached (by aminoacyl-tRNA synthetases). tRNAs cope with the degeneracy of the genetic code in two manners: having more than one tRNA (with a specific anti-codon) for a particular amino acid; and 'wobble' base-pairing, i.e. permitting non-standard base-pairing at the 3rd anti-codon position. The record is from Rfam by way of RNAcentral. Lineage: Eukaryota; Metazoa; Chordata; Lepidosauria; Squamata; Lacertidae.